Molecule: ribosomal RNA, 115 nt
Filed under: Papio anubis (olive baboon)
Lineage: Eukaryota; Metazoa; Chordata; Mammalia; Primates; Cercopithecidae
Source: RNAcentral
GUCUAUGGCCAUACCACCCUGAACAAACCCGAUCUCAUCUGAUCUCAGAAGCUAAGCAGGGUCAGGCCUGGUUAGUACUUGGAUGGGAGGAAGGAGGAGACAAGCUCCAGAGCAA